ACGGGUGUAGCUCAAUUGGUAGAGUAGCGGUCUCCAAAACCGUUGGUUGAGGGUUCGACUCCUUCCACCCGUGCCA
RNAcentral lists this transfer RNA (76 nucleotides) under Bacteroidota bacterium. RNAcentral's name for it is "Bacteroidetes bacterium (grounwater metagenome) tRNA-Trp". It matches the Rfam family "tRNA". Rfam says of the family: Transfer RNA (tRNA) molecules are approximately 80 nucleotides in length. Their secondary structure includes four short double-helical elements and three loops (D, anti-codon, and T loops). The record is from RNAcentral. Lineage: Bacteria; Pseudomonadati; Bacteroidota.